This 250-nucleotide ribosomal RNA is filed under the name uncultured bacterium. Its description in RNAcentral is "partial 16S ribosomal RNA". It matches the Rfam family "Bacterial small subunit ribosomal RNA", at positions 355 to 605 of the family's 1533-position model. The record is from RNAcentral.
GGAGGAAUAUUGCGCAAUGGGCGAAAGCCUGACGCAGCAACGCCGCGUGUAGGAUGAAAUCCUUCGGGAUGUAAACUACUGUUAGAGGGGAAGAAAUCCCGGUUACGCCGGGAGUGACGGUACCCUCAGAGAAAGCCACGGCUAACUCUGUGCCAGCAGCCGCGGUAAUACAGGGGUGGCAAGCGUUGUCCGGAAUUACUGGGUGUAAAGGGUGCGUAGGCGGGUCGGUAAGUCAGUGGUCAAAUCCUAU